CAGCGUAACCUGGCCGUUCGCGGCCGGCUACCCGUCCUCUGUCAUGCGAAUUUAGCGAUCUUACUUCCCAGGAGGUGUUGCGUAGGCCUUGAAACCUGCGUGACCGCCUGGGGUCUUUUUUGCAAACUCUUUGUGAGAAGCGUGAAGUCUGAAUUUUAUAUACAGAAAAAGCA
Molecule: unclassified non-coding RNA, 173 nt
Filed under: uncultured fungus
Lineage: Eukaryota; Fungi
Description: sequence contains ITS1, 5.8S rRNA gene
Source: RNAcentral